RNAcentral lists this ribosomal RNA (497 nucleotides) under uncultured bacterium. Its description in RNAcentral is "partial 16S ribosomal RNA". It matches the Rfam family "Bacterial small subunit ribosomal RNA", at positions 28 to 507 of the family's 1533-position model. The record is from RNAcentral.
GAUGAACGCUGGCGGCGUGCCUAAUACAUGCAAGUCGAGCGAACAGAUGAGGAGCUUGCUCCUCUGACGUUAGCGGCGGACGGGUGAGUAACACGUGGAUAACCUACCUAUAAGACUGGGAUAACUUCGGGAAACCGGAGCUAAUACCGGAUAAUAUAUUGAACCGCAUGGUUCAAUAGUGAAAGACGGUUUUGCUGUCACUUAUAGAUGGAUCCGCGCCGCAUUAGCUAGUUGGUAAGGUAACGGCUUACCAAGGCAACGAUGCGUAGCCGACCUGAGAGGGUGGUCGGCCACACUGGAACUGGAGCAACGUCCAGACUCCUACGGGGAGGAAGAAGAAGGAAUCUUCCGCAAUUGGCGAAAGCCUGACGGAGCAACGCCGCGUGAGUGAUGAAGGUCUUCGGAUCGUAAAACUCUGUUAUUAGGGAAGAACAAAUGUGUAAGUAACUAUGCACGUCUUGACGGUACCUAAUCAGAAAGCCACGGCUAACUACGUG